Molecule: long non-coding RNA, 7230 nt
Filed under: Mus pahari (shrew mouse)
Lineage: Eukaryota; Metazoa; Chordata; Mammalia; Rodentia; Muridae
Description: lncRNA (MGP_PahariEiJ_G0004979.1)
Rfam family: mir-129 microRNA precursor family (bases 1007-1080)
Source: RNAcentral
GGGUAACUUCCCGCUGCCCGGGACGGAGUUUCUCCGUUGCCCACGGACAUCCAGGAGGCGGUGUGGAGGGCAAGCAGGGUAACCCCCACUCCUAAACCACAUCUAUCCAAGGGGAGCCCGAGGAGCCAGCAGGUCCGGACUCGCUGAGGAGGCUCCUCGUGGGGCCUCCCACGCACAGGUGCUGAGCUGGGCCAGCGGGUAUCUCCAGGCAGCCUCUGCUAAUGAGCUCUUAGCAGGUAAACAGCUCUUCCUUGACCCCCCUUCAGGAUAUGCAAGAGACAGGACUGACCUGAGCUGGUACGUGGCUGAGAAGCAGAAACCACCCGGUCUACAGUCCCUUAAUGUUCUCCCAGCUGGGACCUCUCUGCACUCUGUGGCCGGGGCCUCAGGGCCUCCAGGAACAGAGGGACAGACCCAGGCUGUUGGGAAGCAGGGCUGCUUAGAAAGAAGGUCACCGUAGUUGUUUAAGACCAUGGAGGUUGUGGGCAGGCCAAAUGGGGCUGGCCUGGAGCCUCUACCUUUCAUCAUACCAUAGCAUCCGCUGAUGAUGAUCAGAAUCCAUGCCUUAAGCCCAGAGCUGUCCAGUGACAGCCUUUUCGGGGAUGGGGACGAGGCUCUAGGUGAGUCCACAAGAGAAGUUGGGGGGGGGGAGCUGUUAAUGCUGUGGAGCCCAGGACAUAGACGGUGCCUGGGAUGACUGUAAAAUCCUCACAGGACAGAGGCGGAGACAAAUUCCAGCUGCCCCCGCACGCCAGAACACACCACCGCUCUGCUCCUUACAAGCCUGCCAGGUGAGAUUGACACAGGGUGGGUAGAAGCGGGUGCAACUGGGGCUCCUGUCACCUGGCUGCCUGAAUGUAUCCUCAGGCUCUCCCUCUCUCCCCUUCCCUCUCGCACCCUCCUGCUUUCCAGGUCCUGGCUCUGCUUCCCUGACCCCAUCUGCAGACUCGAGCAAGCCCCAGCCCGGGAGGGGCUGCACCCUGCAACCUUCCCCCAGCUGUCUCCUUUGGAUCUUUUUGCGGUCUGGGCUUGCUGUUCUCUCUACAGUUGUCAGGAAGCCCUUACCCCAAAAAGUAUCUACGGGAGGCUUGGUCUACAGGGGAGACCCCCCCCCAAGGGCUCCAGGUGAGUCACACCAAACCCAAGAACACCAUGUGGACCUAGGGCGUCUUUGCCAUACCUUAGUGUUGCUGGGUGACCAUGGGUUGUCGGUCUUCCUAAGGCUGUGACCCUUUAAUACAGUUCCUGAUCUUGUGGUGACCCCGGCCAUAAUAUUGUUUUGUUGCUACUUUGUAAUUGUUAUUUUCUACCGAUAUGAAUUAUAAUUUAUAUAUCUGAUAACAGGAUAUCUGUGACCCCCCCCCCUCAAGUGGGUUGUGACCCACAGGUUGAGAACCAGUGACCUUUCCUUAUAGACACUGUUUAGUAGGAGUGGCUUCAGUCAAUACCAGAGAAGGCCACUUGGGGAGAUGUUGCUGGCUAUCAUGGGCACUCCUGGCAGGACUGUCACUCAAUAUGUCCAGCCCUCCUUCCUGUGCAUUGGGUAGACAUGAGAUCCAAGACAGGCCUGGCUAUUGGAAUCCUGGGCAGAGGGACCUGUGACUGGGAACACCACAGUUGACCCCAGCAGCCGAGUGAAGAUGGUGAGCGUCUGCGGCAGGAUGAGGUGGCCAGCAUCUUCCUGCCGUCCCUUAGCCUGAAUCAGUCGCCAUGACCCCCUUUCUCCUGUGAGUCACUACUAGUCCUUCAAAUAAAAUCCUUGACUGCUCAAGUUAACCAGACGAAUACCAUUACUAACCUCUGAUUCACCGCCAUCUAGAGGGAGGAGGGGGGAUUACGCGCUAGAGAAAAGGCACCGACUUGGGGGAGGAAAUCUGCUGUCAGUCACCCUUAGAGGAGGCAUUGAGGAGAGUCCAUAGGCAAGGAGUGAGGUAAAAUCCAGGGGAACUAUCUGAAGUGCCGUGUUGGAAUAAGCAGAGGACUGACAUUACAUAGGAAGAUUUAAAGUCACCUUGUCCUCAGUUUCCAAAGGUGGUAAGGAUAGGUGAUGACAAUUGCCGGUGGCUCCUGCCAGUUUAAGGGAGUUGGGUACAACUCUGCAGCUGUGGUGAGGCUCGUCAGGGAUGGCCACAUGGGUAUCCAUCUCAUUCCCCUCCGCCCCCACCCCACCUCUGUGCUUCCUGGUUCUAUGCCUUUUCUUAUCUGGAUCUCUCUGCUCUUUUCACACCCAGGUGCGGGAUGGGUGUGGGCAGCCCUGGACAAGGAAUCCAUCUCAUUGUUAACAAAGUCACAGAUCUUCAGCAACAAAGCCCCCAGAAGGUUACCUCCCUGUGCAGAACCACGGGAGGCAAUUCUAAGGGGAUAUGUACGCUGGUGUGUGAGCCUCGCUGAGUUCAAGGGUGGCAAGGGAGCCUCGGUGGUGGGGCUGCUGGAGUGUGCUGUGGCGGUUCAGGAAGGAGAACUGAGUUCACAGGUCAGAAGGGAGGACUGUAGGUGUGUGGGGCAAACGCCACCACCUGGAGACAGGAAGACAUCGGGGGAGAAGGCACGACGUGGACAGGCCACAUUACAAGGAGCUCAGGGUCCCCAUGCUCUCUAAGAUCUCAAUUCUGGCCCCAGCAUAGCAGGUUUGCUAGGCCACGGUCCCCAGCAUGCGGGUGGGAACGGGGUGCGUAGCUCAAGGGCGGCAUCUUGCGGUCAUCUUGGGGAACUUCACCCUACAUUCUCUAUGGCGUGAGGGUAUUGUCUGACUCUGGAGGACCGCAGUCUUUCCUUGCCAAUUAGGGAUUUCUGUGCCAAGCAGCCCCCCGCCCCCAAGAGCCACAGAGCCUGGGGCGAGGUAGAGGUAGGCGGGAAAGGAUGCUUGUGGGAGGCGCCCUUCACUGAGGUUGUUUUACAGUUUGUUCAUCACCCGGGAUAAGUCAGCUCUCGAAAUGGGUUUCUAGGUCCACAGCCUGGACAUUUGACUGACAUUUGCCCCUUGCUCCUCAGUUGAGUAUCUCAAGUCUCAGUUUGGCUCCCUCGGGGAACUGUUCCCAUUAGAGGGUAUCUUUUGGAAAAGACUUCAGCUCCCAGCGUUCAUAGGAAGAAUCUGGACUUCCAAGUCAGAUGCGUAAUCUAGGAACAGCUGUGUGCUUUCUGGAACGUCCUUAACCCUCUCUGUGCUUCAUUUUGCUCAUCCUCAAAACGGGGGUAAUAAGACCUUCCAUAGAAGACCGUGGGUUCUGACUCUGGGCCCAAUGAAUGUCAGCUCUGGGGUGGGAUCCACGUGACCACCUGUGUAUAGCUGUCUUUCUUGUGUAUGUGUGGUGUUGGUAACCAGACAGGAAGGAGGUUGAUGCAAGGCCUCUUCAUUGGCAUGGCCCAUACGUCCAGAGAAAGGAUUGAGAGCUUAGCACCAGCGAGGAAGCCUAAGGGUUUCCCGGAAGUCCGGCUGGAGCAGAGACAUCAACGGUGGCUGGAGUUAUCACUUCCCAUGAGCCUGACAACAGGUGACCCUGUAAACGAACAUGACUUCAGCCACGUUGUUCAGCCACCCCUGCCUGUGAACCUCUGCUUGCCUUCAAAGCCUCUCUGUUGAUCCCCAAGGUCACCUGCUCCCAGCGGGGCCUGGGGGUGUGACAGAGAACACCAAAGAACUUCCUGAAUGAAGCUGGCAGUCACACGCAGGGGACUGGACAGGCCCUAUUGGUGCUUUCGCAUUUCCAUUUGUACCCUAAGUCCUGGGGCAGCUGCUGACCCCAGUCACACAGCAUCUUUGCUCUGGACUCUGGGCCUUCUUUUCUGUCCUCUUCCUUACUCCUUCCCUCUUUCUUUUCCAGAGGCUUACCUUGUCCAGCCAGGAAUUAUCUCAGAUCUGAUCCUGCCCUUGAAGAGGUCCUGGGGACCAGAGCACGCCCAUCCUGAAGGCUGUGCCCUUUAGAGGUGUGGGCUGGGCAUUCUGGAUAGGAACAGAGCGUGUGGACCAGUGUUCCAGGACCUGGCUCCUUUGCUGAAAGACUAAGAAGUCCUCCCUUUGAGCUCUUUUAACAUUAAGGCUGCAGGAUCAUUGGCACAAUCCAGGGCUCAGUCUUUUGGGGCAGAGAAUCUCAAAGUAGGGGCCUCCUUAGUACCUACUGCUCAGCGUCGCACUGGAGGGUUUUUUCUGAUUUUGUUUGUCAUGUCUUCAGAAAGCCUGUUGUUCAACGGUUUUCAGCACCCAAUGGCUCUGUCCAGCAUUGAAGAUGGAGCCCAGAAACGUCAUAAGAUGACUCCCCGCACACUUGUGUGUAAAAACCACUGGCCCAGGGCUCAGCUUUGGUGGAAUCAUGACAAAAGAGUCCAGGGGUUGACCCUUGAAAAUCAGAGUUGCUGAAUGGCUAAGGUUUUUUACAAAGAAAUACUGGGAAAGACCGAGAAAGAAGAAAAGAUAAAGGACGAGGUAGGACUCCCCUCUGGGGAGAGAAGCAGGGGAGGAGGUCUUGGAAAUCAGACUUCCAGGGGCAGAGGAGGUGGUGGACGCAGCCAGUUUCCUGUGUGUGCAAUUUGACCCCCACAUCUGAAUGAGGGUCAAUUUCAGAAGGGCAAGGAUAAUUGACUGGGGCUCGGGGGGUGGGGGGGAGCCCUUUGGGCAUCCAUUUCCACAGAGGAGAAAAACAUCCUGUGAACACUUGUUGGAAACCCGGGGAAGGGAAUCUUGAGAAGGUUCUCCCAUGUCCGUGCCCUUCCCGUGUGAGUGCCAGGACUUUGUAUCACUCCUUUUCUUUGUCUCCUCUCAGUUGUGAAGUAUUUCAACCUCACAGCAAGAAACAAGGGAGGGACAGGACAAGGGCCAUGUACCCACCCCCAACAAAUGGCAUUUGCUGCAUUUACAUCAGAUUCUUAAAACAAACAACAACAACAAAAACAACAACAACAAAACCCCAUGGCUGAAGUCCCUUUGUGCCACUUUCUUUCUCCAAAUACACAGCCGCUAGCCUGCACUCCUCAGGUAAUUUUCUCACACACGUGCUCGCCCCAUAUUACUCAUAAAUGACAACUAGCAGCACUUCGAGCGAGAGCUUUUUAUUUUGCAUAAGCGGUGUCAGAGUGACCCUGUCAUCUGAGAACUCGCUGUGUAUUUUAAAAUCUAGCAUUGUGUUUCCAAGCACACCGAUUCACUUCUGAAUAACUGGACGGCGCAAGAAAACCACAGUUCGUGCCCCGACUCCCGAUGGACAUUUCAGUUUGCCCCAGCCUGGAUACAGCCUGUUCCUUCUGAAACUUGUGUUGGAAUUUGAUUGCCGUCACAUCAGAGUUCGUCAGUCAGGGGCCUCCAUCCGCAUGAAUGGCUUAAUCCAUUCAUGGUCUAAUAGGUCAGCUCAAGAAUGACUUCCGUAUAGAGCGAGUCUCUCUUGGAGGGGUAAUGCCUGUGGUUAUCCCAGCGUAGGCUCAGGAUCCUGAGUUUGAAGUGGGUAGCAACUGUCUUAGUCACCGUUCUAUUGCUGGGACGACAAUCCAUAGCCCAGGCGACUCUCACAGAAGAAAGCAUUUAAUCGGGGCCUUUCAGAGGUUUCGUUUAUUACCCUCUGGGAACAUGGUGGGACACAUGCAGGCAUGGUGCUGGAGAAGUAGCCGAGAGCUACAUCCAGAUCCACAGACAGAAAAAGAGAGAGAGAAUGGGCCUGGGAUGAACUUUUGAAACCUCAACCCCUGCAUACACACACAUGCACACGCACACAUAUACACACAUGCACACGUGACAUACUUCCUCCAAUCCUUCUAAUCCUAUCAAAGUCACUUCUUAGUGACUAGAAUUCACUAGAAUUCACUAGUCUAUAGGGGUCAUUCUUAUCCAGACAGCAGCAGCAACUUAGCAAGAUCAAUCUCAAAAUAAAAUAAGCACAAUGGCUAGAGGUGAAGGCCAAUGGUCCUCGGUUGAAACCCCAGCACCAUUAAACCAAACAAAGACAGCAACAAGAAUAAAGAUAUAGGUAAGUAUGGAAAGGGGAAUGGUAGUGGUAAGAUGCCUUAGCCCAACAGCCAGAUUGGAUCCUAGGAACUUACAUGCUGGAAGAGAACACUCAGCUGUCCUCUGACCAUCACAUACAUGCAGAGGCAUGUGUGACUGACCAUCACAUACAUGCAGAGGCACAUGUGGCUGCAUUGUCACUCCUUACUGCUGCAUAUUUGUAUGUGCACACAGACAUACACAUUAAAUAAAACACUAACCCACAGCUAAGAAAAACAGAAUAACAACAGAGAAAGCAGUGAGCUCUCUGACUAGCUCCCUCUUUCUUACCUGAGAUGUGCUCCGCCAUGUUUUGAUGCAGCAGGAAGACCCUGUUCUGUACGGUUCAGAGAAUGAUCUCCAGGGACCAUGCUUAAAUAUAUAGUAAGCAGAAGGGGGGAGAGGGAGAGGGAGAGAGAGAGAGAGAGAGAGAGAGAGGAGAACCACAGAGAUAGAAACAGCAGUUCAACAUCAUCAAAUCAGGCAUCUCCCUCUGGCUUAGAUGGUGUUGUCCGAUUGGACAAGCAGACAAAGGUAGCAUCAUGGAGUUGGUGCUUACACCAGCAAAAAUGGAGUGGGGAAGUUGAGGCAGUCAGUUGAGUUCCUGACUGAGCUUGCUUUCCAUGAAAGAGUUCCUUGCCACUUGGAAAGCCUUUACCUCCCAGCUGUUGUUGUCAAGGUCAGGAUGCUUUUAAUACCCUUGGCUGCCGGCUAUUUCCAGUUCUCUUUGUUACAGAACCAGGCUGACUCAAGACAAGGAGUUGGAGAGACAAAGGAAGGCAUCUUUGCUUCACAUACAUGCAGAGCCAUGUGUGACUGACCAUCAUAUACAUGCAGUGGCACAUGUGGCUGUAUUUUCACUCCUUGCUGCUGCAUGUUUGCAUGUGCACACAGACAUACAUAUUAAAUAAAACACUAAACCAAAGCUAAGAAAAGCACAAUAAUGACAGAAAAGGCAGUGAGUUUUCUGACUAUAGCUUCCUCUUUCUUACCUGAGACGUGCUAAGAGUCUACUUUCAAGAAAUUUAGGAGAACAUGGCAAUUUAUUAAUACAAUAUGUAUUUCAGACCCUUACCAGGUGACAGGCAGGUGUCAGAAACAUGCUAUGUACUCCCCAGACUCAAGAAUUAUAAGCUUAAUAAACCCAUAUUCUCCAUAAAUUAGUGAGUCCUAGAUAUUUUGUGAAAAGUAACACAGAAAUGGACUAAAAUUUUUUUUUUCUGAUUUGUCACGAUGACUUUCGAUAAAUACCUUCAGUCGUG